Molecule: ribosomal RNA, 500 nt
Filed under: uncultured bacterium
Lineage: Bacteria
Description: partial 16S ribosomal RNA
Rfam family: Bacterial small subunit ribosomal RNA
Source: RNAcentral
AUUGAACGCUGGCGGAAUGCUUUACACAUGCAAGUCGAACGGCAGCACGGGGGCAACCCUGGUGGCGAGUGGCGAACGGGUGAGUAAUACAUCGGAACGUGCCCAGUCGUGGGGGAUAACGUAGCGAAAGUUACGCUAAUACCGCAUACGAUCUACGGAUGAAAGCGGGGGACCGUAAGGCCUCGCGCGAUUGGAACGGCCCAUGUCAGAUUAGGUAGUUGGUGAGGUAAAGGCUCACCAAGCCGAGGAUCUGUAGCUGGUCUGAGAGGACGAACGGCCACACUGGGACUGAGACACGGCCCAGACUCCUACGGGAGGCAGCAGUGGGGAAUUUUGGACAAUGGGCGCAAGCCUGAUCCAGCCAUUCCGCGUGCAGGACGAAGGCCUUCGGGUUGUAAACUGCUUUUGUACGGAACGAAAAGACUCUGGUUAAUACCUGGGGCUCAUGACGGUACCGUAAGAAUAAGCACCGGCUAACUACGUGCCAGCCGCCGCCGUAA